RNAcentral lists this transfer RNA (69 nucleotides) under Aquilonastra batheri. RNAcentral's name for it is "tRNA-Val". The record is from RNAcentral. Lineage: Eukaryota; Metazoa; Echinodermata; Asteroidea; Valvatida; Asterinidae.
UUUAUUAGCUUACUUUACUCUAAACCCUAGACAGAGCUUGACAGAAAGCAUCUCUUUUACACAGAGCCG